This 897-nucleotide ribosomal RNA is filed under the name uncultured Pelagibacterales bacterium. RNAcentral describes it as "bacterial SSU rRNA". It matches the Rfam family "Bacterial small subunit ribosomal RNA", at positions 381 to 1297 of the family's 1533-position model. Lineage: Bacteria; Pseudomonadati; Pseudomonadota; Alphaproteobacteria; Candidatus Pelagibacterales. The record is from RNAcentral.
CUCUGAUGCAGCGAUGCCGCGUGAGUGAAGAAGGCCCUUGGGUUGUAAAGCUCUUUCGUCGGGGAAGAAAAUGACUGUACCCGAAUAAGAAGGUCCGGCUAACUUCGUGCCAGCAGCCGCGGUAAUACGAAGGGACCUAGCGUAGUUCGGAAUUACUGGGCUUAAAGAGUUCGUAGGUGGUUGAAAAAGUUAGUGGUGAAAUCCCAGAGCUUAACUCUGGAACUGCCAUUAAAACUUUUCAGCUAGAGUAUGAUAGAGGAAAGCAGAAUUUCUAGUGUAGAGGUGAAAUUCGUAGAUAUUAGAAAGAAUACCAAUUGCGAAGGCAGCUUUCUGGAUCAUUACUGAUACUGAGGAACGAAAGCAUGGGUAGCGAAGAGGAUUAGAUACCCUCGUAGUCCAUGCCGUAAACGAUGUGUGUUAGACGUUGGAAAUUUAUUUUCAGUGUCGCAGGGAAACCGAUAAACACACCGCCUGGGGAGUACGACCGCAAGGUUAAAACUCAAAUGAAUUGACGGGGACCCGCACAAGUAGUGGAGCAUGUGGUUUAAUUCGAAGAUACGCGCAGAACCUUACCAACACUUGACAUGUUCGUCGCGACUCUAAGAGAUUAGAGUUUUCGGUUCGGCCGGACGAAACACAGGUGCUGCAUGGCUGUCGUCAGCUCGUGUCGUGAGAUGUUGGGUUAAGUCCCGCAACGAGCGCAACCCUCACUUUUAGUUGCCAUCAUUAAGUUGGGCACUCUGAAAGAACUGCCAGUGAUAAGCUGGAGGAAGGUGGGGAUGACGUCAAGUCCUCAUGGCCCUUACGUGUUGGGCUACACACGUGCUACAAUGGUAUCUACAACAGGAAGCAAGACUGCGAAGUUAAGCAAAUCCCUAAAAGAUACCUCAGUUCGGA